AUUGAACGCUGGCGGCAUGCCUUACACAUGCAAGUCGAACGGUCACAGGUCUUCGGAUGCUGACGAGUGGCGAACGGGUGAGUAAUACAUCGGAACGUGCCUAGUAGUGGGGGAUAACUACUCGAAAGAGUGGCUAAUACCGCAUGAGAUCUACGGAUGAAAGCGAGGGACCGCAAGACCUUGUGCUACUAGAGCGGCCGAUGGCAGAUGAGGUAGUUGGUGGGAUAAAAGCUUACCAAGCCGACGAUCUGUAGCUGGUCUGAGAGGACGAUCAGCCACACUGGGAAUGAGACACGGCCCAGAUUCCUACGGUAGGCAGCAGUGGGGAAUUUUGGACAAUGGGCGAAAGCCUGAUACAGCAAUGCCGCGUGCAGGAUGAAGGACUUCGGGUUGUAAACUGCUUUUGUACGGAACGAAAAGCCCCGGGUUAAUACCCUGGGGUCAUGACGGUACCGUAAGAAUAAGCACCGGCUAACUACGUGCCAGCCGCCGCCGUAA
RNAcentral lists this ribosomal RNA (498 nucleotides) under uncultured bacterium. RNAcentral's name for it is "partial 16S ribosomal RNA". It matches the Rfam family "Bacterial small subunit ribosomal RNA", at positions 30 to 523 of the family's 1533-position model. The record is from RNAcentral.